UACGAAGGGGGCUAGCGUUGCUCGGAAUCACUGGGCGUAAAGGGUGCGUAGGCGGGGCUUUAAGUCAGAGGGGAAAUCCUGGAGCUCAACUCCAGAACUGCCUUUGAUACUGAGGAUCUUGAGUCCGGGAGAGGUGAGUGGAACUGCGAGUGUAGAGGUGAAAUUCGUAGAUAUUCGCAAGAACACCAGUGGCGAAGGCGGCUCACUGGCCCGGUACUGACGCUGAGGCACGAAAGCGUGGGGAGCAAACAGG
RNAcentral lists this ribosomal RNA (253 nucleotides) under uncultured bacterium. RNAcentral describes it as "partial 16S ribosomal RNA". It matches the Rfam family "Bacterial small subunit ribosomal RNA", at positions 524 to 776 of the family's 1533-position model. The record is from RNAcentral.